Molecule: ribosomal RNA, 1361 nt
Filed under: Neocamarosporium betae
Lineage: Eukaryota; Fungi; Ascomycota; Dothideomycetes; Neocamarosporiaceae
Description: partial large subunit ribosomal RNA
Rfam family: Eukaryotic large subunit ribosomal RNA
Source: RNAcentral
AACACAGGAGAAGACCAACAGGGAUUGCCUUAGUAACGGCGAGUGAAGCGGCAACAGCUCAAAUUUGAAAUCUGGCUCUUUUAGAGUCCGAGUUGUAAUUUGCAGAGGGCGCUUUGGCGUUGGCAGCGGUCCAAGUUCCUUGGAACAGGACGUCACAGAGGGUGAGAAUCCCGUACGUGGUCGCUAGCCAUCACCGUGUAAAGCCCCUUCGACGAGUCGAGUUGUUUGGGAAUGCAGCUCUAAAUGGGAGGUAAAUUUCUUCUAAAGCUAAAUACUGGCCAGAGACCGAUAGCGCACAAGUAGAGUGAUCGAAAGAUGAAAAGCACUUUGGAAAGAGAGUCAAAUAGCACGUGAAAUUGUUGAAAGGGAAGCGCUUGCAGCCAGACUUGCCUGUAGUUGCUCAUCCGGGCUUUUGCCCGGUGCACUCUUCUGCGGGCAGGCCAGCAUCAGUUUGGGCGGUUGGAUAAAGGUCUCUGUCAUGUACCUCUCUUCGGGGAGAACUUAUAGGGGAGACGACAUACAUCAGCUAGACUGAGUUCCGCGCAUUGCUAGGAUGCUAGCGUAAUGGCUGUAAGGGCCCGUCUUGAAACACGGACCAAGGAGUCUAACAUCUAUGCGAGUGUUAGGGUGUCAAGCCCGAGCGCGUAAUAAAAGUGAACGGAGGUGGGACCCCUUUUAGGGUGCACCAUCGACCGAUCCUGAUGUCUUCGGAUGGAUUUGAGUAAGAGCAUGGCUGUUGGGACCCGAAAGAUGGUGAACUAUGCUUGAAUAGGGUGAAGCCAGAGGAAACUCUGGUGGAGGCUCGCAGCGGUUCUGACGUGCAAAUCGAUCGUCAAAUUUGGGCAUAGGGGCGAAAGACUAAUCGAACUAUCUAGUAGCUGGUUCCUGCCGAAGUUUCCCUUAGGAUAGCAGUAACGUAUUUAGUUUUAUGAGGUAAAGCGAAUGAUUAGAGGCCUGGGGGUUGAAACAACCUUCACCUAUUCUCAAACUUUAAAUAUGUAAGAAGUCCUUGUUACUUAAUUGAACGUGGACACUUGAAUGUACCGUUACUAGUGGGCCAUUUUUGGUAAGCAGAACUGGCGAUGCGGGAUGAACCGAACGUGGGGUUAAGGUGCCAGAAUGCACGCUCAUCAGACACCACAAAAGGUGUUAGUUCAUCUAGACAGCAGGACGGUGGCCAUGGAAGUCGGAAUCCGCUAAGGAGUGUGUAACAACUCACCUGCCGAAUGAACUAGCCCUGAAAAUGGAUGGCGCUCAAGCGUGUUACCCAUACCCCACCGCCGGGGCAAGAUUUAAGCCCCGGCGAGUAGGCAGGCGUGGAGGCCCUGUGACGAAGCCUAGGGUACCCAGUUACCCAGUCC